GAGACCCGCGUCCCCCGUUGCUAUUGGCCUUGAGUCAAGCACACUGGGGAGACCGCCGCUGAUAAAGCGGAGGAAGGAGCGGGCCACGGCAGGUCAGUAUGCCCCGAAUCUCCCGGGCCACACGCGAGCUGCAAUGGCAGGUACAAUGGGUUCCGACCUCGAAAGGGGAAGGCAAUCUCGAAAGCCUGCCGUAGUUGGGAUCGAGGGUUGAAACCCACCCUCGUGAACAUGGAAUCCCUAGUAAUCGCGCGUCACUAUCGCGCGGUGAAUAC
RNAcentral lists this ribosomal RNA (272 nucleotides) under uncultured archaeon. RNAcentral describes it as "partial 16S rRNA". It matches the Rfam family "Archaeal small subunit ribosomal RNA", at positions 1047 to 1325 of the family's 1478-position model. The record is from RNAcentral.